GACGAACGCUGGCGGCGUGCCUAAUACAUGCAAGUUGAGCGAUGAAGAUUGGUGCUUGCACCAAUUUGAAGAGCAGCGAACGGGUGAGUAACGCGUGGGGAAUCUGCCUUUGAGCGGGGGACAACAUUUGGAAACGAAUGCUAAUACCGCAUAACAACUUUAAACAUAAGUUUUAAGUUUGAAAGAUGCAAUUGCAUCACUCAAAGAUGAUCCCGCGUUGUAUUAGCUAGUUGGUGAGGUAAAGGCUCACCAAGGCGAUGAUACAUAGCCGACCUGAGAGGGUGAUCGGCCACAUUGGGACUGAGACACGGCCCAAACUCCUACAGGAGGCAGCAGUAGGGAAUCUUCGGCAAUGGACGAAAGUCUGACCGAGCAACGCCGCGUGAGUGAAGAAGGUUUUCGGAUCGUAAAACUCGGUUGGUAGAGAAGAACGUUGGUGAGAGUGGAAAGCUCAUCAAGUGACGGUAACUACCCAGAAAGGGACGGCUAACUACGUG
This 497-nucleotide ribosomal RNA is filed under the name uncultured bacterium. RNAcentral's name for it is "partial 16S ribosomal RNA". It matches the Rfam family "Bacterial small subunit ribosomal RNA", at positions 28 to 507 of the family's 1533-position model. The record is from RNAcentral.